GAUGAAGAACGUAGCGAAAUGCGAUAAGUAGUGUGAAUUGCAGAAUUCAGUGAAUCAUCGAAUCUUUGAACGCACAUUGCGCCCCUUGGUAUUCCAUGGGGCAUGCCUGUUCGAGCGUCAUUUGUACCUUCAAGCUUUGCUUGGUGUUGGGUGUUUGUCCCGAGGGACUCGCCUUAAAGUAAUUGGCAGCCAGUGUUUGGUUUUGAAGCGCAGCACAAGUCGCGAUUCAAGGCUACACGCCCGCUUCCACAAGCCUUUUUUCACUUUUGACCUCGGAUCAGGUAGGGAUACCCGCUGAACUUAAGCAUAUCAAAAGCGGAGGA
This 323-nucleotide unclassified non-coding RNA is filed under the name soil metagenome. Its description in RNAcentral is "partial contains 5.8S ribosomal RNA, internal transcribed spacer 2, and large subunit ribosomal RNA". The stretch from base 1 to 120 matches the Rfam family "5.8S ribosomal RNA", at positions 35 to 154 of the family's 154-position model. The record is from RNAcentral.